AUACGUAGGUGGCAAGCGUUGUCCGGAAUUAUUGGGCGUAAAGCGCGCGCGGGCGGUCCUUUAAGUCUGAUGUGAAAGCCCACGGCUCAACCGUGGAGGGUCAUUGGAAACUGGGGGACUUGAGUGCAGAAGAGGAAAGUGGAAUUCCAAGUGUAGCGGUGAAAUGCGUAGAGAUUUGGAGGAACACCAGUGGCGAAGGCGACUUUCUGGUCUGUAACUGACGCUGAGGCGCGAAAGCGUGGGGAGCAAACAGGAUUAGAUACCCUGGUAGUCCACGCCGUAAACGAUGAGUGCUAGGUGUUAGGGGGUUUCCGCCCCUUAGUGCUGCAGCUAACGCAUUAAGCACUCCGCCUGGGGAGUACGGUCGCAAGACUGAAACUCAAAUGAAUUGACGGGG
Molecule: ribosomal RNA, 397 nt
Filed under: uncultured bacterium
Lineage: Bacteria
Description: partial 16S ribosomal RNA
Rfam family: Bacterial small subunit ribosomal RNA
Source: RNAcentral